GAAGUGAGCUGGGCGGCUGCUACAGUUAAAUUUGUAGAGGAAGGUCCGGACUCCNUGGGUAAGGGUGACGGCUAACGGCCGGACGCAGCAAGUCUUUUAUAAGACUCAAGGCGAGGAAUAGGGCCACAGAGACGAGUAAAUACAAUGUUUGUUUUGUAUGGACGUGAAACGCGGCAACCUCCACCCGGAGCAACACCAAAUAGGCAUGCGCGCAGUUAACUGCAAUGGAACCCAACAGAGCAUGCGGGUAGGUGGCUAGAGUUUGAUAGUAAUAUCAAUCCGAGAUAGAUAGCCGCACAAAACAGCUGAUUUUCAGCAGUUUGGACAGAAUCCGGCCUAUAGGCUCACUUCGCUA
Molecule: RNase P RNA, 355 nt
Filed under: Betaproteobacteria bacterium TMED100
Lineage: Bacteria; Pseudomonadati; Pseudomonadota; Betaproteobacteria
Description: RNase P RNA component class A
Rfam family: Bacterial RNase P class A
About the family: Ribonuclease P (RNase P) is a ubiquitous endoribonuclease, found in archaea, bacteria and eukarya as well as chloroplasts and mitochondria. Its best characterised activity is the generation of mature 5'-ends of tRNAs by cleaving the 5'-leader elements of precursor-tRNAs. Cellular RNase Ps are ribonucleoproteins.
Source: RNAcentral